RNAcentral lists this unclassified non-coding RNA (177 nucleotides) under uncultured Geomyces. RNAcentral's name for it is "sequence contains ITS1". The record is from RNAcentral. Lineage: Eukaryota; Fungi; Ascomycota; Leotiomycetes; Myxotrichaceae.
CAGUAGUCACCCGGGGCGCCGCAAGGCCUCCCGGGUAACCUACCACCCUUUGUUUAUUACACUUUGUUGCUUUGGCAGGCCUGCCCUCGGGCUGCUGGCUCCGGCCGGCGAGCGCUUGCCAGAGGACCUAAACUCUGUUUGUCUAUACUGUCUAAGUACAAUUAUUAAAUAAAAGCA